UACGUAGGGGGCUAGCGUUGUCCGGAAUCAUUGGGCGUAAAGAGCGUGUAGGCGGCUCGGUAAGUCUGCUGUGAAAGUCCAGGGCUCAACCCUGGAAUGCCAGUGGAAACUGUCGAGCUAGAGUCCGGAAGAGGCGAGUGGAAUUCCUGGUGUAGCGGUGAAAUGCGCAGAUAUCAGGAGGAACACCAAUGGCGAAGGCAGCUCGCUGGGACGGUACUGACGCUGAGACGCGAAAGCGUGGGGAGCAAACAGG
Molecule: ribosomal RNA, 253 nt
Filed under: uncultured bacterium
Lineage: Bacteria
Description: partial 16S ribosomal RNA
Rfam family: Bacterial small subunit ribosomal RNA
Source: RNAcentral